Molecule: unclassified non-coding RNA, 337 nt
Filed under: soil metagenome
Description: partial contains 5.8S ribosomal RNA, internal transcribed spacer 2, and large subunit ribosomal RNA
Rfam family: 5.8S ribosomal RNA (bases 1-120)
Source: RNAcentral
GAUGAAGAACGCAGCGAAAUGCGAUAAGUAGUGUGAAUUGCAGAAUUCAGUGAAUCAUCGAAUCUUUGAACGCACAUCGCGCCCCUUGGUAUUCCAUGGGGCAUGCCUGUUCGAGCGUCAUUUGUACCUUCAAGCUCUGCUUGGUGUUGGGUGUUUGUCUCGCCUCUGCGUGUAGACUCGCCUCAAAACAAUUGGCAGCCGGCGUAUUGAUUUCGGAGCGCAGUACAUCUCGCGCUUUGCACUCAUAACGACGACGUCCAAAAGUACAUUUUUACACUCUUGACCUCGGAUCAGGUAGGGAUACCCGCUGAACUUAAGCAUAUCAAUAAGCGGAGGA